Long non-coding RNA from Ceratina calcarata, 311 nucleotides. RefSeq lists it as uncharacterized. NCBI's taxonomy places the organism in Eukaryota, Metazoa, Arthropoda, Insecta, Hymenoptera, Apidae. The transcript has 3 exons. The record is from RefSeq and is a predicted model, not a curated record.
UAGUAUGGUAAAGCGAAAUCUGUAGUAUCGGUCUACAUAGCAGUAGUUUAUGGUCAUAGUGGUGUGGAACAGAGUGCAUUGCGUCGAAGGCCCCGUAGUCCAUUUAUUUCGUGCUACUGUACAUACAGACGUAAGUACCCAGCUAAAUCUGCUAAUAGCAAGAUUUCGGCAAGUUUGAUGCAGAAUCUACAAAUCUUUUCAAUAAAAGGUAUCGUUCUUACGUUACAACUUCGUCGACAAUCGCUUGUUGAAAAGGACGCCAUCGGCUGAUUAAUCAACGACGCCUGGCUGAAAGGGCUACACACGUGGUG